GACGAACGCUGGCGGCGUGCCUAAUACAUGCAAGUAGAACGCUGAAGAGAGGAGCUUACUCUUCUUGGAUGAGUUGCGAACGGGUGAGUAACGCGUAGGUAACCUGCCUUGUAGCGGGGGAUAACUAUUGGAAACGAUAGCUAAUACCGCAUAACAAUGGAUGACACAUGUCAUUUAUUUGAAAGGGGCAAUUGCUCCACUACAAGAUGGACCUGCGUUGUAUUAGCUAGUAGGUGAGGUAAUGGCUCACCUAGGCGACGAUACAUAGCCGACCUGAGAGGGUGAUCGGCCACACUGGGACUGAGACACGGCCCAGACUCCUACGGGAGGCAGCAGUAGGGAAUCUUCGGCAAUGGGGGCAACCCUGACCGAGCAACGCCGCGUGAGUGAAGAAGGGUUUCGGAUCGUAAAGCCCGGUUGUAAGUCAAGAACGGGUGUGAGAGUGGAAAGUUCACACUGUGACGGUAGCUUACCAGAAAGAGACGGCUAACUACGUG
This 497-nucleotide ribosomal RNA is filed under the name uncultured bacterium. RNAcentral describes it as "partial 16S ribosomal RNA". It matches the Rfam family "Bacterial small subunit ribosomal RNA", at positions 28 to 507 of the family's 1533-position model. The record is from RNAcentral.